RNAcentral lists this ribosomal RNA (470 nucleotides) under uncultured bacterium. RNAcentral's name for it is "bacterial SSU rRNA". It matches the Rfam family "Bacterial small subunit ribosomal RNA", at positions 329 to 795 of the family's 1533-position model. The record is from RNAcentral.
ACCCAGACUCCUACGGGAGGCAGCAGUGAGGAAUAUUGGUCAAUGGACGCAAGUCUGAACCAGCCAUGCCGCGUGCAGGAAGACGGCUCUAUGAGUUGUAAACUGCUUUUGUACGAGGGUAAACGCAGAUACGUGUAUCUGUCUGAAAGUAUCGUACGAAUAAGGAUCGGCUAACUCCGUGCCAGCAGCCGCGGUAAUACGGAGGAUUCAAGCGUUAUCCGGAUUUAUUGGGUUUAAAGGGUGCGUAGGUGGCAUAGUAAGUAGCUAGUGAAAUCUGGUGGCUCAUCCAUUCAGACUAUUAGCUAAACUGCUAAGCUCGAGACCGUUAGGGGUAACUGGAAUUUCUAGUGUAGGAGUGAAAUCCGUAGAUAUUAGAAGGAACACCGAUAGCGUAGGCAGGUUACUGGGACGGUUCUGACACUAAGGCACGAAAGCGUAGGGAGCAAACGGGAUUAGAUACCCCAGUAACC